This 85-nucleotide transfer RNA is filed under the name [Torrubiella] hemipterigena. RNAcentral describes it as "Torrubiella hemipterigena tRNA". It matches the Rfam family "tRNA". From Rfam's summary of the family: Transfer RNA (tRNA) molecules are approximately 80 nucleotides in length. Their secondary structure includes four short double-helical elements and three loops (D, anti-codon, and T loops). Lineage: Eukaryota; Fungi; Ascomycota; Sordariomycetes; Hypocreales; Clavicipitaceae. The record is from Rfam by way of RNAcentral.
GACUCGCUGGCGCAACGGUAGCGCGUCAGAUUCCAGUUUACAUGGGAUUUCCUGAAGGUUAAGGGUUCAAAUCCCUUGUGGGUCA